Molecule: transfer RNA, 69 nt
Filed under: Cheilopogon agoo (Japanese flyingfish)
Lineage: Eukaryota; Metazoa; Chordata; Actinopteri; Beloniformes; Exocoetidae
Also listed under: 2 other names
Description: tRNA-His
Rfam family: tRNA
About the family: Transfer RNA (tRNA) molecules are approximately 80 nucleotides in length. Their secondary structure includes four short double-helical elements and three loops (D, anti-codon, and T loops). Further hydrogen bonds mediate the characteristic L-shaped molecular structure. tRNAs have two regions of fundamental functional importance: the anti-codon, which is responsible for specific mRNA codon recognition, and the 3' end, to which the tRNAs corresponding amino acid is attached (by aminoacyl-tRNA synthetases). tRNAs cope with the degeneracy of the genetic code in two manners: having more than one tRNA (with a specific anti-codon) for a particular amino acid; and 'wobble' base-pairing, i.e. permitting non-standard base-pairing at the 3rd anti-codon position.
Source: RNAcentral
GUAGAUAUAGUUUAACAAAAAUGCUAGAUUGUGAUUCUAGAGACAGAGGUUAAACUCCCCUUAUCCACC